UGUUUUCAGUUCAACAACUGUUUGUUACCUAAACUAUUUAGGAAAAAAAUUGUUCAAAACAGUUUACGUAACAAAAAAAAUCCAAAAAGUCGGGAGAAUUCUACGUAACUUUUAAUGUUUAGAAGAAGAAUUCGCAACGUCGGGAGGCAGUUUCCAACCAUGCAACAAAUCCGAGGGCGAAAAUAUAAUUCUCGCCACGAAAAGAUGAUUUCGCCCUCGAAGUCCUCAACGCCCUCUGUAUUUCUGAUUCUCUCUCUGUUUUUGUGUUCAUAGCAGCUCUGAUGAUCUUUCAUUCCAGCGUCAUCGUCUCUGACAACUUCUCCCUCUGAUUUGAACAAAACAUUAUAGUUCAAGAAAUUUUAUUUGUCACUUGAGUCCUACAUUCUGAAAGAAAAUCCCAUUUGUUCAUCUGAACCGCUUGGCAAUGUACAUUUUGCAUCUUCAUUCUGUCACGUGAUUUUUUUUCGAUCUUUGUGUACCAUAAGGAAUUCCGAAAGUGAUUAAUCCCUUCAUUAUUCUCUGCUGUGUUGAAUUUCUUCCAGAGAUUCAGAAAGGAGGACAUUUGACUGUCGGGAUCGGAUGCAUUUAUGCGGAGGUCAAAUUCUUUACAUAUCUGGUCUUUGAACUAGCCAAAGCAUCUGCAUUUUAUAAACUACCUAUGAUGAUUUCCUGCUGAUUAUAGUGGCUGAUAUUCUUUAUGAAAUUCAGGUGAGAAGAGUCGAUCACAGGAAUGUGAUUGAUUGUACAGUGUGCUACUAUGAAGUAAAUGGCUGUUAUUUCCUUUUCUUCUAUUGCUAGACUAGUAUGUCUGCAUUAUGCAAUAAUCUUUGGCUCAAAACAAUCCCCAUACUAGUUUGGAUAUAAAAUAAAGAACAUGAUUGCUGGUGUUUCUUUGGUGAAAGUGCUUUAUCAUGCUGGCUAUGCUCUUGACCUGGAUCAUAAUAGCCUUAAGAGGUGCUUUUUGCUACUGUAAGUUGUCCAUAUUUUAGACAUCUGAGCAGAUGAUGCCUCCUCUGUAUGGAACAUUGCAGUGCCAAUCUAACACAAAACUACAGAAUUUGCUUGAUUCAUCUUUUGUGACUUAUCAGAGAACCAACUUGGUGCAAGGAAGUUGGCUAUUUCUCAUCAUCUAGUCCUAAACGUCACAUUUCUUGUAGGCUGAGCAAAGAGCGCGUGAAGAAAGUGAAAAGCAGAGCUGGCUAGAGUGUGGGCAAAUUGCGGAAAAAGAGAAGCAAGAUUUGACUCUUAGGGCACGAAUUGCUGCCAAGGCAUAAGAAAAGAAGUUGGAGUUGCUGUUUUUGCACUGGACUGAGCACCCCAGAAACCUUAGCAAUUCUAUAAGUUUGGUUUCUCACCUUCCUGGAAUACCAUAGGUCCAUAGUUAUGUUCCUUUAUACGAGUGAUUUGGUCUAAGUCAUCUUGUUUGCAGGUUAUUUUUCCUUUUGGUCCAAAAGGGUCGCUAUUGACAAUUUUAUUGAGCUGAAGAUAAGUUUCUGUUCACAUGAUGGCCGUGACAAAGAAACUAGAUGCUGAAUUUCUGCUUUCGUUGCCAUAGAGCUGUAGAAAAUUGUUGGAGCUGAUGGUUCUGGAUGAACACCUCAAUGUCGGGAAAAUGAAUCAAACUCUGGGCUCCAAGCCUCCUCGAGUUAUGAGGUCUCUUCUUGCUGCCUCCGCUAAAGAGAAUAGGAGCAAGAUUCAUCGGUGGAAAGACAGAUAUCCAUGAUGCUGCUUGCCAUGUUAUUGCAAGACUUAAAAAAGGAAAGGGAUGAAGCCCGGUCAUUACUUGCACGGGUUGAAAGACAGAAAUCCAUGACAGUAUCUUCUGAUAUUGCAGUGAAUGCUCCUGCCUUGAGCAAUGGGAGAAAAGCUUCUCUAGAUGAAGAGUCAGGCUAUGCUGGGAAGAAAUUGCGAUUCUGCAAGCAUCAUUGCUGUGAUAAUAGAUUGUAACUUAGCACUUUCUCAACAGCAUAAAAAGUGACAGAUUCCCUCUACACUGGCACCUGUUGAGGAUGUGGAGAGGUACAGCCAACUUUCUAGUUAUCCGCUGCACGAAACUGGCAAACCGGGCAUCACAACUCUUGACAUUUGUCAUUCCAAGGUGGGAUUCUAAAUAUUCCUCUUUCAUCCAGAAUUUGUUAUAUGUAGCUGAUGUUUUGGCUGAAAAUGCUUCCAUUGUUUGUGUGCUUCAUGUGCUGAUAAUUUACCGCAUGG
Molecule: long non-coding RNA, 2211 nt
Organism: Eucalyptus grandis
Lineage: Eukaryota; Viridiplantae; Streptophyta; Magnoliopsida; Myrtales; Myrtaceae
Exons: 7
Source: RefSeq, a predicted model, not a curated record